UCCGCAUGGCCCAUAUACCUAGGGCCACACACGUGCUACAAUGGAUGUUACAAUGGGUUGCCAAACCGCGAGGUGGAGCCAAUCCCACAAAAGCAUCCUCAGUUCGGAUUGGAGUCUGAAACUCGACUCCAUGAAGUCGGAAUUGCUAGUAAUCGCGCAUCAGCACGGCGCGGUGAAUACGUUCCCGGGCCUUGUACACACCGCCCGUCAAGCCAUGGAAGCUGGGGGUACCCAAAGUCAGUGUCCUAACCGCAAGGGGGGAGCUGCCUAAGGUAAAACCAGUGACUGGGGCUAAGUCGUAACAAGGUAGCCGUACCGGAAGGU
Molecule: ribosomal RNA, 324 nt
Filed under: uncultured bacterium
Lineage: Bacteria
Description: bacterial SSU rRNA
Rfam family: Bacterial small subunit ribosomal RNA
Source: RNAcentral